AUGAAGAACGUAGCGAAAUGCGAUAAGUAAUGUGAAUUGCAGAAUUCAGUGAAUCAUCGAAUCUUUGAACGCACAUUGCGCCCGCCAGUAUUCUGGCGGGCAUGCCUGUUCGAGCGUCAUUUCAACCAUCAAGCCCCCCGGCUUGUGUUGGGGACCUGCGGCUGCCGCAGGCCCUGAAAAGCAGUGGCGGGCUCGCUGUCACACCGAGCGUAGUAGCAUACAUCUCGCUCUGGGCGUGCUGCGGGUUCCGGCCGUUAAACCACCUUCAUAACCCAAGGUUGACCUCGGAUCAGGUAGGAAGACCCGCUGAACUUAAGCAUAUCAAUAAGCGGAGGA
This 336-nucleotide unclassified non-coding RNA is filed under the name soil metagenome. Its description in RNAcentral is "partial contains 5.8S ribosomal RNA, internal transcribed spacer 2, and large subunit ribosomal RNA". The stretch from base 1 to 119 matches the Rfam family "5.8S ribosomal RNA", at positions 36 to 154 of the family's 154-position model. The record is from RNAcentral.